Oxyura jamaicensis (ruddy duck) is the source of this 318-nucleotide long non-coding RNA. RefSeq lists it as uncharacterized. The transcript has 2 exons. NCBI's taxonomy places the organism in Eukaryota, Metazoa, Chordata, Aves, Anseriformes, Anatidae. The record is from RefSeq and is a predicted model, not a curated record.
GGACAUAGAUAAGUAUGGCUGCCGAAUGGGCUGGAUUACUUCAUCCAGUAUUAAGUCCCAAGACCACUCUCAGCGAGUCUGCCAAAUCCACACUCAAAAUCCCAGAUACCCCAAAUACAAAGAGAGGUUCAAACCUAAUAGGGAACAGGGUGAGUUGUGGCCUCAGCAAAAAAACUCCUAUCCCCGGGGAGGGCAGUGAGCCACCUUGCUGAGCAGGUAUUAGCAAUUCGAUGGCUCUCUAAUGAACACUCUGACCCUAUCAUUGCCAUUCCAUCUGGACCCUGAAAAAUAUUGGUAAAUUUUCUUAUUGACACCGGG